AUCCAGCUGAAGAGUGCCAAAUAGGAUGAAACGCGCAUUCUGGAU
Non-coding RNA from Schistosoma mansoni, 45 nucleotides. Lineage: Eukaryota; Metazoa; Platyhelminthes; Trematoda; Strigeidida; Schistosomatidae. The record is from Rfam.